UAAAACUUGACCAGAAGUAAAAAAAAUAAAACAAAAAUUUAAUGGUAGUCAUGCAGAACUUCAAUUGAGUAUAGAUUAGUCAAAAACGAGCUAGCUGUGCUAAAGUUCAGUGCCAGUGACGUUGAGCUUAAAAAAUAGAAAAUAGAAUAGAAAAAGAUGAAAUGGCAACACAUUUGGCAGAAUGAUGUCCAAGGAAAUCGAUGGGAACAUCAAAGGGUCAGAAACAAGAGAAUAAAGCGUGAAGGUGUUCAAAGCCCACCUACCCACUUGCAAUGAAGGUUGAGCGAGACGCAAUAAGUUUUAAAUGAUAAUUGGAGGGUCUUUCUUUUUUUUUUCUUCGCUCAAUGAAAAAGGAGAUAAACAAAAUUGCAAUAAUUCAUGUCUUUUAAUAACGAUAUUAAUUAGACAACUCGAAAAGGUAUGUGGGUCGAAAGGCGUGUGGGGAACUCAAGAGGGCAAUCAGAAAGUAAAGCCAACGUGUUUUAUAAUACGAUGGGGAAAGCGAGGGAUGGAUCAAUCCAACCAACAGCGACCAGUACAAGGGAAUUUCUCUACGUAAAAAAAUGCUAAAGGCCGCUAAAGGGCUGAUCCAUCCAACGGAAAACAAACACUUAAAGUAAUCCAGUCAUUCGUCCAAAAACUUUUCUGAGAAUUCGCAGUUUUAACAGCGUUCUUACGCAUCUAUCCAAACGAACCUUAUUUUUUUUUCUUCUUCAUCGAACGAAUCAUACAAAAAACAUCAAAAAAAGCGAUUAAUCAAUUCAAUGGUGCAUCAACAACUCUUUCUGUACAAGUGUUGCUUCAUAAAGAGGGUUAAACGACUUUACUUCUUGGGAACAGUCUGACGAUUCUGAAAGGCCAUCAUGCUGCCGAUGUAUUGGCACAGAUACUCGCUUUCUCGACUAAUGUUUUCAGAUUCCUGUUUGUUUUGAUCGAUCUCAUCCAACAAAGCUAUCAAUUGUUAGUCUUUUCUUUCUCCAAAACGCACCGCCAUCGUACCUUGCAAUUGCUGUUGCAAUUCCAUCGCUUUCCUAUCAAUUUAGCAAAGAACUAGCAAAACCACUUACUGCUCCAUCAAACUUCUUGGCAAGGAAUCUGUACUCAUUGAGUAAUGCGCUUUUUUUGUUUUUUUGCGGAAAAUGGGAGGUUGGGAAGUGUCUUACCAGCGUAGCGUCAAUACAUGUCAUUUCCCAUUGCUGUGACUUAGGGGUGUCACUCAAUUUAAAGAGGCCACUGCAAGAGACAUUAUCCUUAAUUGAGUUGAGUAUUGCUAUACGCAAUAUUUAAAUAGCGUUUUAUGUCAUAAUACGUUUUAUUAGCGAACGGAUUACAUUGGAGUACGCAACUGAUGGGUCUUGCAAUAAACAAAUAUACAUAGGGCGAAAACUAGAAUGAGUGCUGCUGUCUUUUGGAUGAAUAAGUUAAAUAUGGAACAUACUAAUAAUGGAUCCACACAUUAAUAAACUGGAAAAAGAUCCCGUCCCGUAAGGAUAAAUCGAGGAGAGAAAGCUUGCGUCUGUGCCCUAAUUAUGUUUUGAAAAACAUGAAAUGCACACUUCAUACACCAGGAUGCGAAAGUCUUUCAACAAUUUACAUGGGAAAAAAAGAAAAUAAUAAUCUAAUAGAACUCCGUUCCAAAAUAUGGAACGUUGGUACAAAUGAUGCGUUUAGGGCGAUUGGAAGAGGCAUACAAUAGAUGCUUCUUCCCUCCAUUAUGCAACGGAAAGGUCGACGGUUCAAAAAUGAAUUUAAAUAAAAGAUGUGUUAUGAAAAAUGCUUUAUGGUAACAGGAAAAAAAAUGCUAUUCCUCUUUUCCCAUUCCAUAGUUUUUAUUCUCACACUAUCACCAGUCAUGAAUAUUUUACAUCGAAAAAAUAACGGGUAGAGCGAUAUAUAUGCGCAAACUAAAAGAGAGUAUACAAAAAAGUAAUCAUGUUCUUUAUCGGAUUAGUUCUUGUCAAUAUUAGUAUUAGCAUUCAAAAAAUAGUCCGAUUAUCAUUUUACUGAGACGUCUCUGGUUUCUCCUCAGGUUUCUCUUCCGCAGCUGAAGCAUUUGCAAGAGCCGACUCUUCUUCUUCUUCCUCUAUAUCAAUUUCUUCUUCUUCUUCUUCUUCCGAUCCUUUCCCAUCAUUUUCUCCUUCUCCAUCACCAUCACCUUCUCCAUCACCGUCUCCAUCGUCUUCCUCCUCCUCCUCCUCAUCGCCUUCUCCCUCUUCAUCGAAUUCUUCCUCCAUUUCAUCAGCUUCCUCCUCUUCUUCCUCUUCGUCCGCGUCAGGCUGAACUGGUGGAGCAUCGUCAAAGUCGGGAUUAUCCCACUGAAUGUUGAAUCGAGUCACCCUUGGCUUUUCUGCUAAAAUACUGCGCCAGACUUUAGAAAUGUCAACCUUGACCUUUUUAAUUUCUGCAUCGUCCAUUUCCUGAAGGUUCAGGCCCUCCAUCUCAUUGUUGACAUAAUAACCUACUCGAACAAACUCAUUAUCCUCAUAUGCACAAGAGAGUAAAAUAACUGUGACACCCAAAACAUCGCUGAGUUGAGGUAAAAGAUCGAUAUUAGGAGGAUCAGCUUCAAAAACGAAUUUAUUAAUCCCGAUUGGUAUAGGUCCCACUAGUAGCGUGUCCAAAAUUUGGUCGUAACUUUGAGACGUCGCACUACCUACAUAUGUCAACUUCCAUUCCAGGUCGCUUUUUAACGGCUCCAGACAUUCAAAGGUAAUUUCGAAUUUAUAUGGAUCAGAGAACUUUGCCGGAUUAUUUAGCACAUUAACACUAAGGAUAUUCACGAUUGACAUUUCGAAGUGAAACGCGUCUAAGCGAUUGCCAAGAACAGCGUAGGUGAAGAAAGGUUUCGUAGAGUUCGGAUAAUUAAGGAUACGCUUGACUAUUUUAUAUCGCUUUUCGUGCUCUAAGGUAAUAACACCUAUUUGAUUCAAACAUAUAAGGAUUAAAAUGCAGUAAAUAUAAAUACUGAAGGCACAUCUAAACAAUGCCUCACUAUUCGGUAAACAAUAGAAAACAUAACCAUUGUUAAGUAUUUUAUGCGAAAGUACGAAGAACUUACAGAGCAGUUUAGUUAAACAUAACCGUUGUUUAAUAAAA
RNAcentral lists this long non-coding RNA (3096 nucleotides) under Schizosaccharomyces pombe (fission yeast). Lineage: Eukaryota; Fungi; Ascomycota; Schizosaccharomycetes; Schizosaccharomycetales; Schizosaccharomycetaceae. The record is from RNAcentral.